Molecule: ribosomal RNA, 460 nt
Filed under: Veillonella parvula
Lineage: Bacteria; Bacillati; Bacillota; Negativicutes; Veillonellales; Veillonellaceae
Description: bacterial SSU rRNA
Rfam family: Bacterial small subunit ribosomal RNA
Source: RNAcentral
GACGAACGCUGGCGGCGUGCUUAACACAUGCAAGUCGAACGAAGAGCGAUGGAAGCUUGCUUCUAUCAAUCUUAGUGGCGAACGGGUGAGUAACGCGUAAUCAACCUGCCCUUCAGAGGGGGACAACAGUUGGAAACGACUGCUAAUACCGCAUACGAUCUAAUCUCGGCAUCGAGGAUAGAUGAAAGGUGGCCUCUACAUGUAAGCUAUCACUGAAGGAGGGGAUUGCGUCUGAUUAGCUAGUUGGAGGGGUAACGGCCCACCAAGGCGAUGAUCAGUAGCCGGUCUGAGAGGAUGAACGGCCACAUUGGGACUGAGACACGGCCCAGACUCCUACGGGAGGCAGCAGUGGGGAAUCUUCCGCAAUGGACGAAAGUCUGACGGAGCAACGCCGCGUGAGUGAUGACGGCCUUCGGGUUGUAAAGCUCUGUUAAUCGGGACGAAAGGCCUUCUUGCGAAU